Long non-coding RNA from Anas platyrhynchos (mallard), 3665 nucleotides. RefSeq lists it as uncharacterized. The record is from RefSeq and is a predicted model, not a curated record. NCBI's taxonomy places the organism in Eukaryota, Metazoa, Chordata, Aves, Anseriformes, Anatidae.
AUUAACAGAUAAAACCCAGGAUUUCUGUUUUUAAAGAAAAUAAAUCUUCCCCUCCCUUUCCCAAUGAACAAUUUUCAAGUAUUCUUUGGAUAUUGUAAAGGAAAGAUAAGGAAUCUAAAUCCUCACUGACUUUCACCCACAAACAGUGACCUGAAUCAAUCCUCUGCAGCCCUGCACAAGCCUAGGAACAUCACCCAAGCCUGCUCUAACCCCAAACCCUCAGGCUGUACAACAGACAGAGCUGCUAUUUUCACUCCCUAGCCCUGCCAGCAAGGUGUGAUGUUGGCCACAAGCACAGGAACCCACCCUGUGGACACCAACCCCAAAGCAUGGGCUGGCAACAUAAGCAGUUUCUCAAUAAGUAAUUCAGAGCAGCAAACAUGCUUACCCCCACCAACAGCACCUGAAGCCUCACAGAAGGAUGAGCCACCCUCAGUGCAGGAUUUAAAUAGGCAGCAAUCACUUUCCCCGUGUAUAUUAACAGGGAACACCUGGGGGACUUUUUCUUGUUGGCUGCUUUGUGUAGCACUAGGGAUGUGCGUGCGAAAAGGGAGGCUGCUGAGCCCUGUUUCUCAAAGCCCACAGGCUGUGUUCAGCAUGGGUAUCCAAAUAUCCAAAAUAUCCUUUAUCUUGUAAAAAAGCUCCUCCAGAAACCUGUUAACCCACCCAGGAUAACUUACCCUGCUGUGCCUCCCAGUUACGCCAUGCAGCCUCCCAGCACCUGGAGCAGGAUGGAAAUGGCAACUGGGGAGCUUCAGGUUGGACCAAACGAGCAGCCCUGCUUGGUGAGAGCACAUGAAGCUGGUGUACAAGGCACCUCUGUGGCCGUGCCAGUGUCUGAAGGCUGAAUUUGGAUGUGCAAACAUGCCGAUUGCUGAUUUCUUUGGGCUGAUGUGGGCAGCAAGGUUAUCCUAAGUGAUGGCUCAAGCAGAAUACAAUCCCAUAAAAUCACUGCAGUUAAUGGAAAAGGACGUAUGUUUUCAAGCAGCAUGCAUCUGAUGCCUGCUAUCUGAAGAAAAUCACCAGGAAACCUUCCCUGAAGUCCAGGUGAGUGCAGGAAUGUCUCAAAGCAGGCGAGGAUCAAUGCAGGAGUUGUGGGAAUCCCUUACCCGGAGGAAACUGCUGGAUGGACAUGGCAGAAGGAGGAGCUUCUUGGACAAACCACUCCUGCACAGCUGGCUAAGGAAGGUCGUCUGACUUCCAGGCUGGAAAAACCCAAGCCUGUGCAGCUGCACUUUUGCACAAGAAUUCCAGCAGAGAAUUAAUUUCUUCUCUUUUUACACAAUAAAGACCUUUUUUAGUACUGCAAAGUCUUGAAGUCUUUAAAUUAACCAAUGCUUGAAGACCCAGGGCGCUUCCUAGAGCUACCACGUGCUCCUCUUCCUCAGCCAAGCCUUCCUUUGCUCUCUCCAAGAUGCCAGCUCAACACCCCGCUGCCGCUCAUUCUCCCCAGCAGAAUAUCUGCCUUCAGCACUUCUGCGUGUACACAAUUUGCAAAGUGCUAGGCAAAGAAGCACGCCCCGAAACGGCAAACCCACCAGGAACGUCAGGAGGACAGAUUUGCACAUGUCAAGUCCAUCAUCUCGGGAUGCUUUCAAAGUUUUGCUUUUUUUUUUGUGGCUCUACAAAACACAUCUCCGGGGCCAUUAUAUGAAUUAGUUGCAAAGGGGUGGGGGAGAAGGAGGAGCGCUUAAGAACAGCAAUACACCCCUGUGAGGACAUUGAGAAGCAUCUGGCUCUGAGAUAUUAAGAAAGGGGAAAAAAAAUUAAUCAUGCUGCCUGGGAAAAAAACCUGGCAUCAGCACAGGCACCUUGUCAUAAGGCAGAUAUUAAUAAUGUGAACCCCCAGGGAACGCGCCGCCAGCUGAAAGAUCCGCUCGUUGGCGAUCACAGCGCGGGCAGGUUUAACUGAUGCCUUUUUGAGGCUGUUUGAAUCUUGCUCUAAAACACUUAGGAUUUUUUUUUGCAGCAAAACGAACCCUCAGUGCUCAAGAUUAAAGAAUUACCGCCUUACUCUCUCUUUUUUCCAGGUACCGGUGUGCACGAGGGAGGGCAACGCCGCACCUUGCUGCUCCCCAGCGCUAUAACCAGGGCAGCAGCAAUAACCAGAACUCCCAUUUUGCAGAAAAUUUGUUUCAUGACCAAAACAUAGCAAAUUUCUCCUUUUUUUUUUUUUUUAAUCUACCUUGUUGCUUCUCCAGAGCUGCAGAAAUCGUUCUCGCCUAGUGCCUUGAAAGCAAUCUCGAUAAAGGAACCACUGAUCUGCUGGAAGAGUGUUGCUAAAAGCACACUGGGCACCCAGGACACAACCUUACAGGUAUCUGCUCACCUCCUGGACCAUCCAUGGCUAUCUUACAGGUACUUGCUCACCUCCUGGACCAUCCUUGACUAGCUACAGCUCCAGAUUCACAGGAUACAAACACAACCAACUCGCGGAAACACAGCACCAGCUACAAAAUAAAGGUCUCAAGGAUAAAAUGAUUGAGAAGCACCGAGUUGGAUGUUUCUAUGCUAUUUGAUGAUGUAGGAGCUAACAAGCGGAUACAUCAGAUAAAACAGGUUGCAGUUGGCAGAUCUAGAUGGCAAUUCCCCAGCUGGGGAAUAUCGCUGCGGCAUCCGCAGGUUGGAAGCAGCACACUCCGGCGUGUGAAUGGAAGAUGACACCCCGGAGAUAGCACCAGGUGCUGUCAGCAGCAGGGCACCGUCCCUCCAGGAACGCGGUGCCACCAUCAGUGCCACUCUCUGCUGAGAUCAGACUUAAUUCUGCAGCCGGCUGGCUGGUUUCAAACCACCCUGUCCCGAGAGGGACCGUUUCCUGCAUGGGGUACAGCUGUGAUACAUUCCUAUGCAAAUUAAUCAAUUUUCUCUUUCCCUCUAUGAAAAGUCUCCCAUUUCUUCCCCGUCACUGAAUUUAUCUCCCAAUGGACAUGACAGAAAGCCACACUUGUAGGUUUAUUUUUUUUUUUUUUAACCGAUCUGGUUGCAGAAAGGGACACGUUCAGCCCCAAGAUGCAUGCGGAUAAAAGCCCCAUUGAUUUCAGUAGGGGAUUCACGUGUUUGUCCUUCAUCAGAAGUCCUCGGGAAUGACCCCUUGCCAUCUUCUAAAUCCCCGGAGGCAGAGUACCUCCGCCGUGCCCCUCCGUGUCACCGCCUGGGGAAAUGCUGAACCACAAUUCCUAUUUCUGUGCUGGUCUCUGGUUUGUUCUCCCUUAUUUCCAUUCCCUCAGCCUUUCCAUUUGCACUACCUGUCGCUCUGCACCUGAUGCCAAGAAGAGCUUCUGGGGAAAGGGACAGCCUUUGCUUCUCGCCUGAUGCCUCAAGUGGCAUUCAUGCCAGCUUCAGCCAUAAAAAUCAGCUAGAAGAGCUCAGGGCAACACCGAGCCCGUCGCUCUCCAUGUGCUGCUCUACCGGUGUGCCCUGCUCACAUGCAGACGUAGAGGAACUGGGCACAGCAGUGAAAACUUGCCUUUUUUUGUAAAUAUUUUAAAAGCAAGAUAAGUUUUUCGUUUCGAUUCAAGUUGUGCUUUCCUUUUUCCGCCUGACAAAAUAAAAUCUAAGAGUUUCUGACUGUGUAGUUGUUCCUAGGUAAAUUCAGAGAGCUGUUUCGUGUCGUAAUUUACCCGUGCACAAGAGGAACACCUGGCAAAAAGGGGAAAAAAAAAAAA